CGAAAUGUCGUCAGACCUUCGAACAGACUCCAGGUAAAGUACAGGGGCGUGUAUCUCAGCAGCGCAUUGGUCAAGCUGGGUGAUUGACACGUCUAUAGAACCGUCAGAGCCAGUAGAAUCGACGGACAGCAUCACGGACACCAUUCGCUAUCUGUGAGGGGGCGAACCCACUGUGACGCGUUUUUCCCGACGCCAUUUGACAUGCGACUUCCGCAUGUGUAGUCGGAGUAGGAGGAGCAGGCGUUGAUUAACAUCUUGAAAUGAGGAGCGGUCUUUGUGCUAAGCCAACGGAAUCGGAUUUAUGGAUCAAGACACAACUUUUCCCGCAAAUACUUCGACGGGACAACCCUGCAGACUAAUACACCAAGAAGGAAUGGCAUUCAAUUGUCCGACAGGCUAUAGUGGACCAAUUUCUGCAACUGUCGAGAGAGAGAGAUCUGCUCCUGCAGCAGGCAGCGGUGACGCCUCAUCAGACUUCCAGCAAGCCCUGUGGCCCCUGAUGGCGCCACAGCUGGGUGGAUGGACAUGAUCACUCACUCACAGACAGGAUUAACCCCCCCCCACCCCACAACUGCAUCUGUCUUUGCUGUCCUGUUUCUAAUCUCUGUCUCCUGGCCUCUGUCUGUCUUCCCGCCUCAGCUCGUCUCUAUCCCACUGUGCUCUUGUCCGUGUCACAGUGGUGUUAAGUCUAGACGUUGGAGGCUGUAGCCCAUGUUCUUCAGACCACUGUUUACCGAGCAGGCUUCCACAGUAUUGGGCGUUUUUGUCGGUAAGAUGCAGAGUUGUGCUGCAAACGUCCAUCGAGGACUAUCGCCGCGGCUAUGUUUCAUUACAUGUAUCAUAUUCUUCUACACAUAAUAAAAUAAUUGAAACUUUUGGUUGAAAAGAUUUUUGCUCUCUUACAGACUAUUAAUGAUAAGGCUUCAUAAUUACUGCUUUAAAAUAUUCGACAUGAUCAAAGUUCCUGCGCUGGCUUUUGUCAGAAGAGGAGAGGACCGAUCAUUUGACUUUUACAGCGUUUAAACGGGUCCCAUUAUUACGUCCCAGAGACUCUGUGAUCACACGCGUGUUAUCUGAAAAUGCACUCAAUUUUAAUGUCUAUUUACUGUCUUUGAAUCCCGCUGCUGUACAGAGAACUCUGUGAUCUUUCUCCCCU
Molecule: long non-coding RNA, 1156 nt
Filed under: Scophthalmus maximus (turbot)
Lineage: Eukaryota; Metazoa; Chordata; Actinopteri; Pleuronectiformes; Scophthalmidae
Description: lncRNA (ENSSMAG00000034113.1)
Source: RNAcentral